GAGCAGCGACCUGAGAGGUUCCCAGCUCUGCUUCCAGCUCCUCCAAUCAGAGGCCAGGCAGCUCGAUGUGAGUCCGGGGCUUCAGGAAGGUCAAGACCUCUAGCCGGCUGGGGUAGUAUUGGGACUGGUGGC
Gavialis gangeticus (Gharial) is the source of this 132-nucleotide long non-coding RNA. RefSeq lists it as uncharacterized. The record is from RefSeq and is a predicted model, not a curated record. NCBI's taxonomy places the organism in Eukaryota, Metazoa, Chordata, Crocodylia, Gavialidae. The transcript is spliced from 3 exons.